Archocentrus centrarchus (flier cichlid) is the source of this 5953-nucleotide long non-coding RNA. RefSeq lists it as uncharacterized. The transcript is spliced from 3 exons. NCBI's taxonomy places the organism in Eukaryota, Metazoa, Chordata, Actinopteri, Cichliformes, Cichlidae. The record is from RefSeq and is a predicted model, not a curated record.
CUGGAUUUCUCGGCAGUUGUCCCAUUACUGCGCCUACAAUUUUAAAAACACCUUAUGGGGUGUUCCAAAAGCUGAGACUUUUCUAUAGUUUGUCAUAUCUGGUCUACACGCAUCGUCUAACCCCGUGAAAGCACUUUGGUAAAUUAUAAAGGCCAAAGCUAAAUUUCCACGUUCGCCAUAACGAUCACUGAAAAGGGAAAAUCUCAGAAGCGCCUGAAGAUGACCUAUGGAUAGAAACCAUGGUUUUAUUUUGAAGGUUGAAAGCGACCCGGUAGUCAGUCGCCUUUGUUCUCGUAAUGAGUGAGGUAAACGGUUCAGUCGACCAACCCUUUUGUGUUGGAUACCAGUACUAGUAAUGGGACCGGUCGCCCGUCAGCUUUGGUUAGACGCGGACUUUCAACUCCAAACAGCACAUUUGAGAUACGACAUCACGAACUAGAGUAACUUUGUCUGUUUAUCAAGUUAUCUGAUGCUAACAAGGAGUGCUAGCUGGAGUCUGGCAAAGCAGCUAACAGCGGCGAAGGUAUGAGGAAUAAACAGAUGUGUUUUGGGAGACUGGACAAGUUUUUUUUUCUUUAGAAAGGCUGGUCAAAGGAUAAACCAACUGUUGGCUAACACUGAGCUGAAGUUUUCGUCAACUUUCCCAGUUCCUCUGUGCUAACGUGCACGUUGAGUAUAUCUGAAAUACUGGAAACACCCUCGGCAGCUUCGAAGGUUGCUGGCUAAAAUCAAACAUGUAGACUAUUCUUCUGGACUGUAAACUGUGGAAUCUCAGUAAUCGCGCUGCACUGUAAGUAAUGUAAGUGGAGGCUUACAUUACAUCUUCCCUUGUGUCUGUUGAACUGCUCAAACACACCCGCAGGUGUGUCGAUGACCCGAGGACGUCACUUUGCCCAGGCCUGAGUCCUCCUGAACAAGUAUUUCAGCUUUGCAACUAGACUGACAGCACAUGCAUGCUUUUCUCUUAAGCUCAUAAAGGUUCAGGAAACUAACAGGACGUGAGAACUGUCGACUUUAAUUCCGCUCCCACAAGCUCAGCCAACAAACAUGACAGCUGUGGUGGGCAGAGCAUGGGGGUGGGUGCUCUCAUGGGGCAGUGGUAGUAGUGCCAGGUCAGAGAACACACAACCUUUGGCAGCUGAGGGCCAAAAGCUGCAGAUUAGUGGUGGCUGGGGCCUCAAGGGGUGGACUUCUUGGAUCUGGGGAAGAUGGGGACAUCAGAGUCAACUAAGUAGUCCAGUAGAGGAGUACUGGGAGGCACAGGAGAAGCUUCAGCCCAUGGAAAUCAAAGAUCUUGGAGCAGGACAAAAAGAGACUGAAGCAACUCUUCCUAGGUGGUGGAAUAGAUAUCUCCCAGCAUGGCCAAAAAAAAUUGGGCUAAGUGGACUAAGACAAAGGAAAUGGGAUGGUGGGACUGGAGAUGUUUGGGGACGUGAUACUGAUGGAGACUUUUCUGAUUAUGGAACCCCUCCUCCAUCCCCCACCCCUUCUUCCUCUCAGACUUCUCCUUUUCGGCUAUUUGCACACAGCUGGAACAUGGAAAUCGUACCAGAGCACUACGAGAUCUGCUUCAACUUUCUACGCCACUUGUUUGACCUGUUUGUUGUUGGCUUCCUCUGGACUGUGUCCCCUCCUGCUAAGCUUAUCCUGGAGGUGUUGGGAGUCCAAGGGGCACUGAGACUGUGGUUUCAUGGUAUGGCCAUGUUUUUUGUCUCCACAGUUGGUAUGGCGGGAUUACUCUGGUUGAUCCAGGAAUAUCUCCCCCAGUUUGCUUUGAUCUAUGGCAUCAUUCAGGCAUUGGUUAUCUCUGUCAGUGUUCGACAGAGUGUGAUGCUAGGUGUGGAGGAAGAGAAUGAGCAGACGGGAAAGGAGACUGAUGAAAUGCAAGACAGUACGGAACAUAAAGAAAAGCUUGUGUCUGUUACAGAAAAGGUGAAGACAAAUUAAAGAUGGUGAAAAUUUGCUGUCACUUCGGGCAUCCACCGAUAUUCCAGCUGUAUCGCACCUCCUCCUGCCCUCAGCCAUCACAGCAGCGGGACUACAAACAGACUGUUUGGCUGCACGAUGUGUUCUGCAGUGUAACUUAAGGAUUAUGUUGCGCAUUCAUUGCAUAUUUAGAGAAAUGAUACUUGUCACUUUAUGGCCAGAUCUGCAUCUGUGCUCAGUUGAUCUUAUUGUUGUCACCAGAAUGUUCACACUGAUAACCUUACAAAGUUUGCUAUUACAAUUAUACUACUAUAAUAAUAAACAAUAUAAGGGUUCAUGAAUGUUCAGGGAACACUCAAGUGAAACAGGAAAACACCCAGAAGCUACUGCUCUGUCAGAUUUGAUUAUAUUUAAUUCUGCCUUACAGCCCCAUUCAGUUUGACCUAAACUGAAACUUGCACAACAGUAAAAAUCAAGCUUGCUCUUGUAAAUUCACUUGAAUUCAACCUUUGUUCAACACCAAACUAUGAAUCACAGAGUCUACCACUGGAAAAUCUGACACACUGUGCUUGGAAGUCAGGAAGUUAUUCCUGCACUCUCAUCACCAUUGAUGGCAACAAAAUUCAGUAUCAGCCUUAUACAUCAUUUAGAGUCUGUGAUGGUACUAACCUGUGAGAUUCAGUUUGUUUCCAGGACAGAGGGCUAGUGUGAAUGUAUGUGUGUUUAUUGGUGUGGAAAUCUGAAUUUGAUUAAAGGGCAAGAAGCCUGAACAGGGGCCAGAGCAAGGAGCGACCACUACCUGUAGCUUUAGAUACCUGUCAGUCAAGCACAUGCACACUACAGCAUAUACUGCAUUAAAGCCAUGAGAUCUCCUCAAGCCAACAGUGGUCUAAAAUUUUUAUUUUCUGAAGCAUUUUUAGACAAAGAGCAAAAGAUUAAUGAAACAACAGUCAAACAGUUAAUUCUUAUAAGUCACAGAGGAAGUAGCUUCCACAUUAUAGUCAUCAAAUGUUCCUUCUGCAGGUGAAAUAUCUGAAACAGCAGAUCUUUCUGGCCCGUGGGAUCAAAUCUUUUGAAAAUCUUAGCAUAUGUAUGCAGGCCACACUACAUUCAACCUUUGAACUCCUCGAGGGAACGCUACAAUCAUUGUUGCUUGCUGUAAGAGAUAUGUGAGAUUUUGAACGUUGACACAAAAUACCAGCAGCUCACUUUAAAGUAUUUUCUUGGAUUCUGCCUUAUUUUCUGUGCCAUGAUGUUGCUUUUUUGAACUUUUACUCAGACUGUAGGCCACACUCUUCCUCCACAAAAAAUGUCAUGGACGGAUUUCUCUGUGUCCACCCAGCACUCCUGUUGUAUAUUACUAUGUUUGACUUGCAAAUAUGUGGCGCUAAACCAUUUGUUCAAAACACAGAGAUGAAUUUUGCUUAGCUGCGUCGGCAUGUGAGAUGUUGAAACCUGUGACCAGAAUUAUCUGAAAUAUCACUGUCUUGUGUGCACAUGAUGUAUAACAAAACUUGGGGUGAAAUAGAAUUUAUAUUCUUGAAUAUAUAGAAUAAAAUCACAACCUAAGUGACAGUGCACUUGUAAGCAUAACAGUGCUGUAAGCAAAUGAAAGUGAAUGUGAAGUCAUUAGUUGAUUGUUUCAGACAUCAGCUGUAAAUCUGCUUUUUUUAAAGGGUACUCGGAGCUUUAAAGAAAGUCAUUUGGAUUCUUUGGCCACGCUCGUUUCUCCAUCACAGUUUUCAUUUGGUAUUAUUUAUAUAAGCUUGGAAACAAACAGUACUGGUAACGCAGCUUUGCUGAGGAGUUGAAUAUGUUUGAGUUUUUGUUAGACUUUGGACUUUAGCGAAUUUCUAAUGGAUGUUUUUCUGUUUUGGGGAACAUAAUGAAAUAUUUAAGUAUUUGAAGGUUUUUGGAUUUCUAUUAUACAUCAUAUAUUAUUAUUAUUGAAGUGAAAAGGCUUUUUUAUAGUCACAAAUUGCAAUAAUGUCUUAUAAUUAUGACAGGUUCAAGGCCUAACAAAAGUGCAGUUUCAUUGGAAUAUAUAUGUGCACAGAAAUGUAUGCUAAAAUAGAACUGUAUUCAGUUGUCAGCAGAUUUCACAUAAAUGUUUUAUUGCACCAAAUCUUCAUUAAUACUAUGUUUAUACAUCUUUGUUACCUUUUAUUAAGCACUUGCCUGUUCCUGAUUACCCCUUAGAGCUACUUGUUAUGAGCAGCAAACACAGCAGUGUUGGAUCACUGUAGGAAGGACCUCAACAUGUCUGUGGUGUCAUUAAUAUAGAAGAAGUAAGGUGGGGAAGUAUCUGUUGUGACAUUUAUUACCACUUUGGAAUUGAACUCAGGAUCUUCUUGCUGUGAGGCAACAGUGCUAACCAGUGCUGCCCCGGGCUAAAACAGAUUUAUUAUCACUUUCUAAAGAGACUGUUAAACAUUUCAGCGGCAUAAUGUUCAGAUACGGUGAUAUUUGUGCUCCAGUAUCUCCUGCAUUUAGCUAUGGUUUGGUCUCAGCUCCUGGGAAACAUGUCUUACUCUUUAGCUGGAUAGUAUUAUACUUCUUUCUUGAUACACUUUUUUUCUAACACUGUUGAAAGGAGUACCACUUUUAUAUGUCUAUAAUCUCUUUAGUUCUCAUUUAGGAAAUGUACUCUCCCAUAUGUUGAUUGGUCACUAACUGCCAUUUAAAAAAACCUCAAACAAUAUAAAACAUUUGUGCUAAUAUGUCUUAACAUUACCCUUAAAAAUGGAGCAAAACAGUCAUGGGCAAAUUAUGUGGUCACUAAGGAACCUCAUUAUUGGACUGAAGGAUUACAAUGAAAUCUUGACUUUUAUACCAAUCACAAGGUAGCUUUAAUGUCACUUAACCUGUGUUAGGGAGUGUGCACAAUCAUUUGGCUUUUUCAGGCUGGAAAAAAAAAAAAAACAACAGCCAGAAAAGUCGUUUUCUGUUACACAGCUUAAAAUGUCAGCACUGAAAGGAAGUGCAAAUUUGCUAAUAAAUGAGUAACACUGAGCUGUUUCUGUCAUAUCAGUUGAUGUUGUACAUAUAUCCACCAUUCCCCAACAAAAAAAUCCAGUCAACCAUAAGCAAAGCAGUUUACACUUUAAACCUUACGCCAUUCAAGGAGUCCUGGGAAAGCUGGUGAUCCAGCUGAAGAAGAGAAUGAAAAGCAAAGCAAUGAUUUAUUUUUUAGAAUUGAUGCUACACUUUGUGUUAUGAUCGUUUUAACCUCUAUCACCCUCUUUCAUUUUUCUGAGAUAUUAAUUAUAUACAGAUGUGCAUUAUGUCUGUUGCAUCGUUUAGGCCACAAGGAAGACCUGACUGAGCAUGACUAAAUAGUUUUGUUCCUAUGUAACACAGAGCACACAUUAGUAAACCAUUUUAAUCACAGUUCAAAACUUUAAUUCACAUUAAAUCUGAUCUCAAUGUGUUAAUCAUAUAUAUAUACAGAAAGGUGCAUUACCAGUACAAGAACAAUGUACAUAUGUAACAAUGUGUGGACAGUACAGAAAGUGUUGGCAUAAAUGAAUAAUUAUGGUACUGUCAGAUAUCAAAGUUGGUCAGAAACUGGAGAGGAUGAUGAUGAUGAUGAUGGCGUGUGCAUUUAGUCAGAUGUGGUCAUAGCAGAGGCGUGACAAAAAUAAGCCUGGGCCAGCAUUCAUGCAGCUUCACCUCCCCUGUUCUGUAAGCCACGUUAGGCAGUCGUAUAUAUGCACUCUGGUCAGGAAUGGACCUCAAAUCAAAUAAAGCUGCGUCUUUAUUGGUUUAUCACAGCAAUAGAAGUUUGCAGAAACUGGAUAGAGCACAGCAGGAAAAGCACAAACACCCAUCACCUUUAUAGAGGAUUCAGAGCCACAUUGUAGAUGUUUUUCUGGCUGACAUGCAGCUGAAUUUAACAGGAAUCUGAAUACUUUAGCCAAGAAGUUAAGUGAGUGCACUUACAGAACAGACACCUCUUAUUUGGCCACACUGCGCCUGCCAACUCAGCCACCAAUUAACUCAGGAACACCACAUUUAAAGAAAGAAA